RNAcentral lists this long non-coding RNA (3354 nucleotides) under Canis lupus familiaris (dog). Its description in RNAcentral is "lncRNA (ENSCAFG00030009298.1)". The record is from RNAcentral. Lineage: Eukaryota; Metazoa; Chordata; Mammalia; Carnivora; Canidae.
AUGGCCUACAAAGUAAAAAGUGUUUUCUCUCUUGUCCUUUACAGGAAGUUUGCUGAUGGCCAGAACGUCAUAAAAACAGGUGAUUUGCUCCAUUCCAUUUCUCAAUCCUCCUCUCACCCAACCUGGAAUAGCUUCUUCCUGAAGGCUUUGCUGCCUACCAGCCUCAGACAAGCCUGUGGAUUAGGAGGAGUGUGUCCCUGGUGCCUAACAUGGCCAACAUCCCCUUUGCCCCUUGCCCAUGGCUUGAGCACCAGAACCUUGGUAAGACUUGUUGCACCCUGGCACCAUUUCUGCCACACAGAAGUCACAAAAUAGAUGCCCUUCCCCUUCCCUGUCCAUGCUUCUCACCUCCUGGUUUUUCCUCUUUUCUACCUUCUCCUUCCCAAAUCCAAACAUCUUUUUUUCCCCCAGCAUGAGAAGUGUUGCUAUUAAUAACUGCUCUGGGACAAUUGGAGCUAUUAUGGAUACUUGCCUCCUAGGACUGCUGUAAUAAAGAACCACAAGUGGGAUGGCUUAGAGCCAAACUGUUUUCUCCCAGUUCUGACAGCCAGAAGUCAGAAAUCCACGUGUCAGCAAGAUUGGCACCUUCUGGAAGUUCUGACGGAGAUUUCAUCCCAUGCCCUUCUCAUAGCUGCUGGUGGUCACUGUAAUCCUUGGCAUAGCUUGGCUUGGAGAUACCACACUCCCGUCCCUGCCUCCAUCAUCACAUAGUGUUCUUACCCUGCACCCAUCUGUUUCUCCUUCUAAGGACACUCGGCAUAUUGGAUUAAGGCCUCCCUCUAACAACCUCAACUUGAUUGCACCUGAAAAGACCCUAUUUCCAAAUAAGUUCACCAUUCACAGAUGCAGGGGGUUGGGACUUCCACAGAUUUUUUAUGGGGGAUAUAAUUCAACCCAUCAGCCUCGAACUAGCUUUCUGACCUGUAACAUGGAGGUAGUAAGAGCAUCUACUACAGAGAUUCUUGUGAAGAUUAAUUGACCAACAUGUCUAGGCCUUCACAAAAUGCUCACAACAGGAUCAUGUUCAGCCUUUUCCCUCUUCUGCUUCUCCCACUUAGGCACCCAGGUGUGUGGCUUCUUUGUCAUUUGUGUUUGCUCAGUAUAGAAAUGUGAAGCAAACAAAUAAUCUAUAUAUUGCCUAUUUUCAUCCUUCCCAUCAUUAAUUUAGAAGGUAAUACUGAAGUGUACUCUUUCAAAAUGACAUGUUUACCUUUUGCAACAUUUCCAGGAGAGAUUCAGACUCCAGUGGCUUGUAAAAGAGUGCUCUGUGCUUACCGGCACACUACCCCAGGUCUUCUGUUGUGAGUGAAGCUUCUUCUGAAGAAGAAAGCCAUGGAGAAGUCAAUUCCUCCCAAACACUACCCAGGGAAUGGGGUAAGAAUCUAUUGAUGUUCACUGUCAGACCAGAAAUUAAGAGAGCCAGAGGAGCACCCAAUGAGGCCUGGAACAGUCCUAUUUUAGAAAAGCACAAGACAUGAAAGCCUUUUAGAUCCCAAUCAGUCACUCCUUUGUACCUGGAGGCUGCAGGCAGGCACAUCAAAAGGCACAUUAGACCUCAGAGUCAGCCCUCCUGCAGUUCCAGGGUGGAUUCUGCACCACUUGGUAAGAAUCACUUGUGGUUCUUGUUUUGUUUUGUUUUUUUUUUUAAUUAAUUAAUUUAUUUUAGAGAGAAAGAGCACAAGUUGGAGGAGCAGAGGGAGAGAAUCUCAAGCAGACUCCACACUGCAUGCAGAGCCCAAUGUGGGUCUCAAUCUCAUGAUCCUGAGAUCAUGACCUGAACUAAAACCAGGAGUUGGAUGACCAACUGACUGUGCCACCCAAGUGUCCUGAGUUUGUGGUUCUUAGUUCUUUGUUUCUCUUUUCAGUUGGUCACACUUUGUUUUUAACUUCUUAUAAACAGCAAAAUCCCUGACCCAAAGGCAGAUCCUAUUCUAGAAGGUUCUAUAAGAGCUGUAUCAGUCAGUCUUAAACAGAGGGCUGCUUGUUGUCAAGCACUGUAUUGGAGGAGAGAAAAAGUGUGAUUUGAUGACAAGUAAUGAUAUUUCGGUAUUGCACCGAAUAAUGAUAAUGACAAUUAUUGUUCUCAUGAUUAUUCCAGCCUUCAUUUAAUAAGCUCUCACCAUGUGCUAUACACUGUGCCGAGCAUUUCACACUAUGUUAUGAAACCCUUUCAUAACACCUUGAGGCUGAUAUGUCAUUAGUCCCAUUUUACAGAUAAGAAACUGAAUUCACAGCACAGGAUAAUGUAUAUGAUGAAGUAUCUCAAAAUUGCUCAUAGGAGGAAUGAUUAAAAAUAAGGGAAUGGACCAGAAGGAAUGAGCUUUGAGACCAGGGAUACCUGGGCUCAAAUCUCUGCUUUCUCCCAUUUCGGUUCUGUAGCCAUGAUCAGUCCUAGAAACGUUCUUUGAAUUCAGUAUUUUCAUCUGUAAACUAAUGGCAAUUACUGCCUUGAAGAGAUGCUGUAAUUAGAGGAUUGAUAUAAAUGAAGUUCAUUGAACACAGCCGGGGCAGCAUGGUGGUGGUGAUAUUUAUGAUGCUGUUGUUAAGAUUGGAGGUUAAGAAAAUGUGAGGAAACAACGUAUAUUCCAGAUGCUCUAGAGCUGUCCUGUAGAAAGAUUAGUUUUUUUUCCACAUAACUUUUUUUUGGAGGAAACUUCUUUGGUAGAUUUCACUUCAAAUGUUUACACAGCUUGUUGGAAUUGACCAAUAGAAGAGACAGAUUUUUACUCAAUACAAAGGAGGAUGUUCUUUGAACUAGAGGAGAACAUACAUACUGCUUGGGCUAGAAGUAAAGGAGGUGCUGGUAGACCUUCUACCAAAGAUACUCAGAGAUUGCUUCAUUUCUGGGAAGCCAGAAUUGAGAAUGGGAUGCUGAGGAUGCCAGUUGGUUAACAUUCUUUUUUGUCUUCUUAUGUAUAAGACAGUGUGCUAAAAUCUGAAACAUACAUAUUCAGUUUUGAUCUAUAUGACCACCCUCUGAGACAGGAAUGGCUAUUUUCCCAUGAUUUAGACACAGAAUCUGAGCCCGUGGAGAUUCUGUGACUUUAGGGUGGGAGCCAGAAUGCAAGCCUUCUAUUUUGACUCUGAGUCAGAGUAUAUCUAUACAGAUUUUAAAUAUGACAGUAACAGCUCUUGGGUAUUGAGCACUUACUAUUUACUAGAUGUUCUACUUUUACUUUAGUUCUUCUCUUGGAUACCAACUUGAUUUGUUUUUGCACUUCCUUCAGGUCUUUAUUGAAAUUGUCACCUAUGAGCCCACUAUUUUUCUACUUUCAAUUUAUUACCAGCUGACGCUCACUCAGUUCUUCAUCUGCUUCUUCAGUAGUCUAGUUUCCUAUCCCCUUCCCCUUUCCC